GACGAUGUCUAGGGGUUCUGAGAGGAAGGUCCCCCACACUGGUACUGAGACACGGACCAGACUCCUACGGGAGGCAGCAGUGAGGAAUAUUGGUCAAUGGGCUUACGCCUGAACCAGCCAAGUCGCGUGAGGGAAGACUGCCCUAUGGGUUGUAAACCUCUUUUGUCAGGGAGCAACGCCGGCUACGUGUAGCCGGACUGAGAGUACCUGAAGAAAAAGCAUCGGCUAACUCCGUGCCAGCAGCCGCGGUAAUACGGAGGAUGCGAGCGUUAUCCGGAUUUAUUGGGUUUAAAGGGUGCGUAGGCGGAAUGCCAAGUCAGCGGUAAAAUCGCGGGGCUCAACCUCGCUCCGCCGUUGAAACUGGCGUUCUUGAGUGGGCGAGAAGUAUGCGGAAUGCGUGGUGUAGCGGUGAAAUGCAUAGAUAUCACGCAGAACUCCGAUUGCGAAGGCAGCAUACCGGCGCCCAACUGACGCUGAAGCACGAAAGCGUGGGUAUCGAACAGGAUUAGAUACCCUGGUAGUCCACGCAGUAAACGAUGAAUACUAGCUGUUCGGGGCAAUUGGGCCUUGAGUGGC
RNAcentral lists this ribosomal RNA (576 nucleotides) under uncultured bacterium. RNAcentral describes it as "bacterial SSU rRNA". It matches the Rfam family "Bacterial small subunit ribosomal RNA", at positions 275 to 847 of the family's 1533-position model. The record is from RNAcentral.